UUGUGUGUGAUCUGUGAUCUGUGCCUCUGUGCGUCUCAUAUAAAGAAAAAAAAAAAGCUUCAAUUAUUAUUAUUUAUUGGCUUCGCCCACUAGUACUAUGGAUAGGUUCAUCAUAAAAACAAAAAUCAAAGAUUUCAAAGCUGCUACCAACUGUGUCGACCAGAAUCAAAAUGAACACUCCUAUGCAUCUACAUCAAUUUCCGACUCCAUAGGAAUAAAAGAAAUUGAAGAGUCAGAUACCAGUAGAGAGGAAGAGUCUGAACCUCAAAGAAAAAAACAAAAAGUCUACAAACAGAAAUUCAGAGAAGAGUGGAAACAAAAAUUUCCAUGGUUAAUUGUAACCCACAAUGAAAUACCAAUGUGUGAACCCUGCAAUCGAGUUAUGAAAUCCUCACUAUAUUGUGUGCGAAGACACGAAGAGUCAAAAAUGCAUAUUGAAAAUAUUAAGAAAUGUGAGAAAACUCCUAGAGUGGAGAGUUUUUUUUCCAACAAAUGAACAAACAAAAUUUCAUAAGAUGGUUAAAAGGGCAGAAUUAGGUCUAGUGGUUUUUCUUCACGAACAUAAUUUACCAUUUAUAUUGAUGGAUCAUUUACCUCAACUUUGCUCACACAUUUUUCCAGACUUCCAAAUAGUAAAAGAGCUGCGAUGUGCAAAAACAAAGGCUACCAAGCUAACAAAA
This is a long non-coding RNA of Leptinotarsa decemlineata (Colorado potato beetle), 680 nucleotides long. The record is from RefSeq and is a predicted model, not a curated record. Lineage: Eukaryota; Metazoa; Arthropoda; Insecta; Coleoptera; Chrysomelidae.